RNAcentral lists this long non-coding RNA (2369 nucleotides) under Aquilegia coerulea. Its description in RNAcentral is "long non-coding RNA (ACOE_LNC001107)". Lineage: Eukaryota; Viridiplantae; Streptophyta; Magnoliopsida; Ranunculales; Ranunculaceae. The record is from RNAcentral.
AAAAGAUUUCAAAAUAUUAAUGCAAGCACAGGUGAUAUACACUUUCCCUUACAAACUCCACACAUAUAUACGGCAAUAGCAAAAGUGUGAAACUACAUUCACCACAACCACAGGUGCUCAGUCACUACAACACAGGUGCUCACAACAUAAUACACCGGCCUGUUACAUUUUGUCAAUGCCAAACCUUUCUUGUUCAGGUUGUUCAUUGUUAAUUAAUGUACGUCCCCCCUCACAAUCUCACAUCAUCUACCGACCAGAUGAAGAAGUACGCAUAUAUGUUCACAUUAGAAGGGAUUCUGAUUUCCAGGAAAUUAAAUGGAGUAUGUCUGCCCAUCAGGUAUGUACGUCUUCAUCGUUGCUCACGGUCACACUCCAUUCAUCAGUUCAUCAAGAAAGCAAACAAGCUAGUUCAAUUAUAUUGCCAUUCUAAAGUACGGUCUAAAACUUGAAGUACCAAUUUUACUCACAGUUUCCACAAAAUCACAACUGUCAUCCCAAUCCUAAAUCUAGAAUUGGCCUAAACUUGUGACCGUAUCGACUUCACAGAACAAAUUAUAAUUCCAUUGUCCUACUGAAAACACUGAUCUCUCUUUUAUAAUAAUACAAGUCCAUAUCAGUAACUGAUGUCUGAUAAGAUGAAUCCGUUCACGUGUUCAUAUAUAAAACAGAGAUCAUGAUGGUCUUAAAAGAAGCAUGAAGUUCUAGGGGGGAAAAAAAAGCAUGAAGAGUCAAACUGCACAUCGUCAUAGUCACAUAGCUUGAAGUCAAGCUUGGCUCUCAUCUGAACCCAAGCUUGAGCUCACACUCACUUCGUCCGGAGGCACAAUAUUGCCCAUUUCAGCUUCAUUCACAACUUGUGGUUGGGGAUGUGGAGGCACAAUAUUGCCCAUUUCAGCUUCAUUCACAACUUGUGGUUGGGGAUGUGGAUUUGUCUCUUCCCUCAGCAUCCGACGAAUGCAUAGACAAAGCACAAUGAUUAACAGAGGGGCACACACCGCAACCACCACAAACCACACUGGCGUUGUGUGCUUUCGUUUGAAAGACUGGCUUCCAAAGGACUCGAAUGGGUGGGUUGGUUCUGCCAUAACUUACGUCUCAAUGAUUUCCAGGAAAAACUUACGUCUCAAUUCCCACUCCUUCCAAACUGGCUGAAACAACAGUUAAAUGUUUGUUACUAAUUCAAUCAGGCCAAGUGGCCAACAUACACCUAGCAAAGUAAUAAGACUAACACUAACAUAGAAUUCCAACAACAUGACAAACCAUAUGCAGUGUUCGUAGAGAUCAAUGUGAUUCUAAAUAUAUAAAUAAAAAGGAAAGUGCUGUAGAAUUAUAAAAACAUGACAAACCAUACAAAUGUGGUCUAUAAAGAGGGAUCAUAUGUAAACCCGGGAAAUGACACCAAAACUGGUGGGUGAUUUAGCUAGAAGCUCUAAUACGAUUCCUUAUACCAAUUCAAGUUAGGCUAAUUCAGAUUUGUACAAGGUUGAAAUCCCAUUGAAGAACCACAGAAAGCAUAAGGUUCAAAGUUAUAAGGACCAGUACUUGAUCCACAACAAGUCUUGAAUGGCAUUUUAAAUGCUUAUCCUUGUUUAUUCUUAAUAAUUUUUCGAUAGGUGUUCCAGUGAUUGUCAUAGGAAAUGACAGUUCCAGGAUAUUUGUUUCUGAGUUGUUGGAUCUUAGAUUGUAAAAGGAGAUUGUGUGUGUGUAGCUUUGCUUGUUUGCGCUUGCGACCAAGAUUAUUUCUAAGUCUCUAACUCUAACACAGCAGCAGCGCAAGAUAUUGAACCAAUUAAGGCAGGGGAUACAGAGAACCCCCAACAAUAAUCAUUUGCUCCAAUCGCACCAACACAAAACAAAGCAUCAUCAACUAUAACCAGUGCUCUACAUUGACCAUUUAACAUCUUUCUAUUAUUCUUCCCUUGACAAAUCACAUCCAUGGGCCAUGACUCUAAGAAUGAAUUUGCUGAACCACACAAGUUCAUUAUUAGUAGACUGAUGGAGGUGUAACAGUAAAACCACUGAGUGUUAUAUAUAUAUUAUUCUUCUUAAUUGUCUAGCUAGAAGCUCUAAUUUGAUUCCUUUACCAAUUAAAGUUAGACUAAUUCAGAUUUGUAAGUAUGCUAAAUGAAUCUUAUCAAAAGAAUUAGAAUCCAUGAUCGAUUUAUGCAAAAAUCAUAUAUACACAAUCAUUUGGGGUAUAUAAAUGCUAUAAUUUCUAGAUAAAAAAAAUUGAAAUUUUAGAGAAGAAAUCCAAGUAAGAGAAGACCUAAAACAAGAGGGAGAGCAGAGAGAGUACCUUAGAGAAAAUUAGGGUUUGUUUGAGACUUUGAGAGUGAGAGAUCCAGAAAGAUUCACAAAGCAGCUUCUUU